RNAcentral lists this ribosomal RNA (446 nucleotides) under Ecytonucleospora hepatopenaei. Its description in RNAcentral is "SSU rRNA". It matches the Rfam family "Microsporidia small subunit ribosomal RNA", at positions 127 to 584 of the family's 1311-position model. Lineage: Eukaryota; Fungi; Microsporidia; Enterocytozoonidae. The record is from RNAcentral.
ACCACGGUAACCUGUGCCUAAGAGUGUAGAAUAAGGUGCAAUCCUAUUAGUUUGUUGGUAGUGUAAAGGACUACCAAGGCAGUGAUGGGUAACGGGAAAUCAGGGUUUGAUUCCGGAGAGGGAGCCUGAGAGAUGGCUCCCACGUCCAAGGAUGGCAGCAGGCGCGAAAAUUGUCCACUCUUUUGAGAGGAGACAGUUAUGAAACGUGAGUCGAAGGGUCGAGUGUAAAAACCUUGACGUGAAGCAAUUGGAGGGCAAGUUUUGGUGCCAGCAGCCGCGGUAAUUCCAACUCCAAGAGUGUCUAUGGCGGAUGCUGCAGUUAAAGGGUCCGUAGUCGUAGAUGCAAUUAAAAGGUGGUGUUAAAAGCCAUUGAGUUUGUUGAGAGUAGCGGAACGGAUAGGGAGCAUGGUAUAGGUGGGCAAAGAAUGAAAUCUCAAGACCCCACC